This is a non-coding RNA of Chloroflexi bacterium 44-23, 117 nucleotides long. The record is from Rfam. Lineage: Bacteria; Bacillati; Chloroflexota.
UUUGGUGAUAAAAGCGGCAGAGGUACACCCGGACACAUCUCGAACCCGGUCGUUAAGGCUGCUAGCGCCGAUGGUACUUGGAGGGCGACUUCCCGGGAGAGUAGGUCAUUGCCAAAA